CUGGGUACCAAGACAAGGUGAUUUUGACGACUUGCUGUGUCUACACCUAGGAGAAAUAUGGAGGAUACUGAACAAUGAAGAACUUGAAAAAAAGAGAACUUGAAGUCAAAGGGAGAGGAAGGAGUGAAGAAAGGCAUGGAUACUGAACAUCCCACAAAAUUCACAAGAGAAGACUUGGAAAAGACAUUCCCCAAGAUCAGCAGAAAAGAUCCGAGUUUUGUUAGGAGAUUGUCAGCAAGAUGCAAUCUGUAAAGUUUCCUAGGUCGGGAGCGAUGGGAUAAUCAGAAGAAUUUGAAGUU
Eptesicus fuscus (big brown bat) is the source of this 299-nucleotide long non-coding RNA. RefSeq lists it as uncharacterized. The record is from RefSeq and is a predicted model, not a curated record. NCBI's taxonomy places the organism in Eukaryota, Metazoa, Chordata, Mammalia, Chiroptera, Vespertilionidae. The transcript has 5 exons.